GGCACCACACAGGAGUGGAGCUUGCGGACUUAAUUUGACUCAACGCGGGGAAACUCACUUGGUCAGGACACUGUAAGGAUUGACAGAUUGAAAGCUCUUUCUUGAUUCGGUGGAUGGUGGUGCAUGGCACGUUCUUAGUUGGUGGAGUGAUUCUCGUCUGGUUAAUUCCGAUAACAAACGAGACUCUAUCUUGCUAACUAGCUCGCAGAUUUAUUACUGACUGUAGAGCUUCUUACGAAGGACAGGUGGAUUUAACCAUACGAGAUUGAGCAAUAACAGAGUCUGUGAUGCCCUUAGAUGUCCAAGGCUGACACGCGUGCUACUCUGAAGUCAAUCAUCAUGUGAACCUAUCUCGGAGGAGUGUGGGGAACCCUCUGAAACGGCUACGUGCUCGGGAUCGGGGUAAGUAAAUCCCCAUGAACGCGGAAUCCCUAGUACGCUGCGGAGUCCCCCUCCUCCCCGCCUGAUUUACCGUCCCGUGUCCCUUUGGAUACCCCUUCCGGCCCCAGUCCGCCUACU
This 519-nucleotide ribosomal RNA is filed under the name uncultured eukaryote. RNAcentral describes it as "bacterial SSU rRNA". It matches the Rfam family "Eukaryotic small subunit ribosomal RNA", at positions 1163 to 1661 of the family's 1831-position model. The record is from RNAcentral.